AAAUAAUGCAUCUUCCUUAUUUAGUCCAUUAUUUCUAUUUAAAGUCCCUCUAUAAACAAUCAUAAACAUUUCUGUUCUCUUGUUUUCAAGCAUUAAAGGAUGUUUGAAUUAUUUGUGCUAGGGUGUACUGGUGUUGUGAUGUUCCUUCAUGGAGCCAAUUUCUUCUUCCAUGGUCUCUCUCAUCAUAUGGCCAUUCGUUCUCUCAGCUUCUUAGGAUUUGUUGGUUGGUAAAGAAAUGUCGAGAAUGAUAAUGAUGAUCGAUCAGCUAAAGGAAGCUUGCACGAACCGCCAUGCUUUUUGUAAAUUAUAUUGGUUUAACUAAUUUUUAUUCUUUUUCAUUUGCAUUUUAAGGUAGAUAUUAUUAUAUUGUUGUGGUCCACAAUAGAAAAUGAUCGAGAAAACCUACGAUAAGAGAAUAUAUCCUGUAAAUUUUAAUCAUUGAAAGGCUUCGCCUUGCUUCAAGUGUACUCUGCUUAUUAGAUAAAAUAUUUGUCUUUUUAAUAUUUUGAUGUUUAUACUCUGAAAAUACUCCGUAACUAAGAGGGUAUUUGCCCAAACGGAAGUGAUUCAAGUGAUGAAA
This is a long non-coding RNA of Nicotiana attenuata, 580 nucleotides long. RefSeq lists it as uncharacterized. NCBI's taxonomy places the organism in Eukaryota, Viridiplantae, Streptophyta, Magnoliopsida, Solanales, Solanaceae. The record is from RefSeq and is a predicted model, not a curated record. The transcript is spliced from 2 exons.